Molecule: ribosomal RNA, 500 nt
Filed under: uncultured bacterium
Lineage: Bacteria
Description: partial 16S ribosomal RNA
Rfam family: Bacterial small subunit ribosomal RNA
Source: RNAcentral
AUUGAACGCUGGCGGCAUGCCUUACACAUGCAAGUCGAACGGCAGCACGGGAGCAAUCCUGGUGGCGAGUGGCGAACGGGUGAGUAAAGUAUCGGAACGUGCCCAGUCGGGGGGGAUAACGUAGCGACAGUUACGCUAAUACCGCAUACGAUCUAUGGAUGAAAGCGGGGGAUCGCAAGACCUCGCGCGAUUGGAGCGGCCGAUAUCAGAUUAGGUAGUUGGUGGGGUAAAGGCUCACCAAGCCGACGAUCUGUAGCUGGUCUGAGAGGACGACCAGCCACACUGGGACUGAGACACGGCCCAGACUCCUACGGGAGGCAGCAGUGGGGAAUUUUGGACAAUGGGCGAAAGCCUGAUCCAGCCAUGCCGCGUGCAGGAUGAAGGCCUUCGGGUUGUAAACUGCUUUUGUACGGAACGAAAAGGUUUGGCCUAAUAAGCUGAGCUCAUGACGGUACCGUAAGAAUAAGCACCGGCUAACUACGUGCCAGCAGCCGCCGUAA